AGGCCAGGCAACGUCGGGGUGCAGGCGGGCCGGUCAGGGGGGCGCAUGUCUGCCGUUCCUACCUGGGUAUAUAAGCCCCUGGACGGUGGGGGGUUACUCUGAUCACGCUGCCCUUCCAUUCUCUCCCAGAGUUUGUCCGUCUCGUUCUGAAGUCCACCUUUCCACUUUUCAUUUCAAAAUCAAUGCUUAUGUCUUCAUCCACUCCUCCAGAGCAUCGUCAGCUGAAAGGGUAUUGUUUUAGAAAUGUUUUGCUUACUUUCUCUCUUCUCAACCCUUUUGCUUCUGAAGUCUCCCUGUGAUGGGAUCGACACAUUCAUUUUUUUGUAUCCGUACUUUGGAGGUUCAUACAGGCCCUGCGUUGCGGUGACCUCAGGAUGUGUGGCGCUGUGGAAUAUGGGGGGGGUCAGUGUCGAGAAGGAGAUGUGGGGAAAUGACGGACAGCUGAGAGGUUAGAAAGGAAAAUGUAAUUUCUUCAAUGCGCCGUUGAGGCAAAACAUAGACUCUUUCUUUCUUUCUUUCUUUCUUUCUUUCUUUCUUUCUUUCUUUCUUGCACCUAUCCUGUCAUCUAUUGUGUCUCCUCUGCUUUCCUCACUCACUCUCUGGCGCUCUCUCACUCAGUCAGUCUCUCUUUCUCUCUCCCUCUCUCUCCCUUCCUCCGUCCCUCUUCUCAAUUUGUCCUUCAGCUCUGUCAGCGCACAGUCCACAUUCUCUGAUCCCUCUAUUGCGGUUUCAUUAAGCUUCCUCAGUCAAACUUUGCUUGGUUAGGUGGGGAGGGAUGGGCAACCGUGAGUUUGACGCAUUUGAACGCCACAUCAUCAGGUUAUAAAAAAAUCCUCUUAUAAGAAAGGUUCAAGUUUUGAUUUUAUGUAGGACUUUUUCUUAGUACCUGCCAUUGGUUCUUUUUGGUAUUUUUUUCCUCCUCUCAUCCUCUUCCUCCCAUCCGGUGUGAGAAAAGCAGCAUCUCCCAUGACCCUCCUCUCCUCUCCUCUCUGCAUCCCUAAACUCUCCGUCGCUGAUUCAGCUCCCAGGAAACAGACAGACACUCCGCCUGCAGCAGCCACACCGCGCGGGCCGCCGCCCUGCCAGAUCACCCUCACACCGGACUCUGAAGCUGUCCCACCUCUUCAGACCAUACUGUAGGACUUCACACCAAAAAUGCUUUGCUAAAGCUGGUAAAAUGGAACCAAAUCAACUGUUCAAUGGAUUUGGUCCCCUUCAACCAGCUGUAGCUGUGCAUUGAUCACUCCGGAUCACUGAAGAGUGGGACAAAGAAUGGCUGACAGACACACCAAGACUCCAUCUCUCACUGACCUGAGGACAGGGCUCACCAGAGGGAAUCUGGCAGAGACACUGUGUCAGGAAUGGACACACUGAUCCAGGAGCAGAAAAGCCCAACUGAACCUUCAGACCUCAACUGGGUAGGCUGCAAGUAGGAAUGAAUCUUUUGUACACGAGAAGGGAUAUAGAUUUUUUUUGCAAUAAAAAAUAGUCCAGGUAAUUACUUAUUUAGUGAGUCAGCGUUUUUGUCAUAACUAUGUAUUGUAAUGUUUUACAGUCGAUAUUGUUGCUAUCCUUUGUAACGGACUGUACUGGAAAGGAGAAGGGGGAUGUGGGGUUGGUAAAUAAGUGAAGCAACGGUUGUCUCUCUCUCUUUGACUCUUAAUGCAGACGUCUGAUCAAUAAAAACCCAUCCUGAAGUCCAUAAA
This is a long non-coding RNA of Oncorhynchus tshawytscha (Chinook salmon), 1706 nucleotides long. RefSeq lists it as uncharacterized. The transcript is spliced from 2 exons. Lineage: Eukaryota; Metazoa; Chordata; Actinopteri; Salmoniformes; Salmonidae. The record is from RefSeq and is a predicted model, not a curated record.